RNAcentral lists this long non-coding RNA (702 nucleotides) under Sorghum bicolor (sorghum). Its description in RNAcentral is "long non-coding RNA (SBIC_LNC011759)". Lineage: Eukaryota; Viridiplantae; Streptophyta; Magnoliopsida; Poales; Poaceae. The record is from RNAcentral.
UCCAAAACACAUCAUAUAUUAUAUAUAUAAUACAAUACAAGUAUCUCAUAAAUCAAAUGUAAUAUCCGUAUAGGCAGUUGUCUCAAAACAAAAAUCUAGGCAGCUAUGGAGAAGACUCACGAUGAGGAGUAGACGGAAUGCUGGUUUCUCUCUCUUCCUUUCCCCUUUCGUAAAUCCUUCAGCAAUCCACCAAUCAUCCAUGAACCUUCCGCAAGAUUCAACUCCAAAUCGAUAUCAGCCCCACUCAGAUUUAGCCUUCACGUUGCCAUGCACUCAAUCGAUUCAACACCUGCCCUGCCCCAUCGGAAAAUCAUCUUCCUACUGCACGCACACGGAGUGUUAGCAACGAUGGGGAACCAGGCGUGCCCGAGGAGGAAACCAGUACGACAAGGCCAAGACAAAGCGGUCGAACCAAACGUCCCAAUGUGCUGAUUAGCGGACCAGAGUGGGCGUGAGCCGUAGGCUAGCGCAGCUGCGUCUGCGGGCUCACGCCAGGCGCAACGCCUGUAUAAGACCUGAGACUCUCUCGAGGGAGGGAGAUCAAUCAAACACAGAACCGAAUACUUGUAAUAUCCCUAUUGCUACUUGCGUAUCUGGUUUUCCCUCUACUGCUGUUCUUCCUAAACUCCCUUUCUUCCCAAUUAUCCCUACUCGAUUCUAUGCUGCAACUCUGAUGCUAACAAUUGGUACUCAGAGCCAAUU